Molecule: ribosomal RNA, 445 nt
Filed under: uncultured bacterium
Lineage: Bacteria
Description: partial 16S ribosomal RNA
Rfam family: Bacterial small subunit ribosomal RNA
Source: RNAcentral
GUAGGGAAUAUUGGUCAAUGGACGAAAGUCUGAACCAGCCAUUCCGCGUGCAGGAAGAAGAUUCUAUGGAUUGUAAACUGCUUUUAGCAGAGAAGAAACGCCUUCAUUGAUGAGGGUUUGACGGUAUCUGCGGAAUAAGCACCGGCUAACUCCGUGCCAGCAGCCGCGGUAAUACGGGGGGUGCAAGCGUUAUCCGGAAUCACUGUGUUUAAAGGGUGCGUAGGCGGGAAAUUAAGUCAGUGGUGAAAGUCUGUUGCUUAACGAUAGAAUUGCCGUUGAUACUGAUUUUCUUGAAUUGGGUUGAGGUUAGCGGAAUGUGACAUGUAGCGGUGAAAUGCAUAGAUAUGUCAUGGAACACCAAUUGCGAAGGCAGCUAGCUGGGCCUUGAUUGACGCUGAGGCACGAAAGCGUGGGUAGCGAACAGGAUUAGAAACCCUGGUAGUCC